GACGAACGCUGGCGGCGUGCCUAAUACAUGCAAGUAGGACGCAGUUGCGAACGUGUGAGUAACGCGUAGGUAACUGCCUAUUAGAGUGGGAUAACUAUUGGAAACGAUACCUAAUACCGCAUACUAGUAGAUGGACCUGCGUUGUAUUAGCUAGUAGGUAGGGGAAUGGCCUACCUAGGCGACGGUACAUAGCCGACCUGGGAGGGUGGUCGGCAACACUGGGACUGGGACACGGCCCAGACUCCUACAGGAGGCCGCAGUUGGGAAUCUUCGGAAAUGGGGGGAACCCUGACCGAGCAACGCCGCGUGAUUGAAGAAGGUUGUCGGGUCGUAAAGCUCUGUUGUUAAGGAAGCGGUACUUAACGAGAAAGGGACGGCUAACUACGUGCCAGCAGCCGCGGUAAUUC
RNAcentral lists this ribosomal RNA (407 nucleotides) under uncultured bacterium. RNAcentral describes it as "partial 16S ribosomal RNA". It matches the Rfam family "Bacterial small subunit ribosomal RNA", at positions 28 to 526 of the family's 1533-position model. The record is from RNAcentral.